RNAcentral lists this ribosomal RNA (292 nucleotides) under uncultured bacterium. RNAcentral describes it as "partial 16S ribosomal RNA". It matches the Rfam family "Bacterial small subunit ribosomal RNA", at positions 505 to 796 of the family's 1533-position model. The record is from RNAcentral.
GUGUCAGCCGCCGCGGUAAUACGGAGGGUGCAAGCGUUGUUCGGAAUUACUGGGCGUAAAGCGCGUGUAGGCGGUUUGGUAAGUCAGAUGUGAAAGCCCUGGGCUCAACCCAGGAAGUGCAUUUGAAACUGCCUUACUCGAGUAUGGGAGAGGAGAGUGGAAUUCCCAGUGUAGAGGUGAAAUUCGUAGAUAUUGGGAGGAACACCCGUGGCGAAGGCGACUCUCUGGACCAAUACUGACGCUGAGACGCGAAAGCGUGGGGAGCAAACAGGAUUAGAAACCCCCGUAGUCC